RNAcentral lists this ribosomal RNA (471 nucleotides) under uncultured bacterium. Its description in RNAcentral is "bacterial SSU rRNA". It matches the Rfam family "Bacterial small subunit ribosomal RNA", at positions 28 to 507 of the family's 1533-position model. The record is from RNAcentral.
GAUGAACGCUAGCGGCAGGCUUAACACAUGCAAGUCGAGGGGCAGCAUAAUGAAGUAGCAAUACUGAAUUGAUGGCGACCGGCGCACGGGUGCGUAACGCGUAUGCAACCUACCUAUAACAGGGGGAUAACACUGAGAAAUUGGUACUAAUACCCCGUAACAUCAGAGGAGGCAUCUUCUUUGGUUGAAAGUUCCGGCGGUUAUAGAUGGGCAUGCGUUGUAUUAGCUAGUUGGUGGGGUAACGGCCUACCAAGGCGACGAUCAGUAGCCGACCUGAGAGGGUGAUCGGCCACAUUGGAACUGAGACACGGUCCAAACUCCUACGGGAGGCAGCAGUGGGGAAUAUUGCACAAUGGGCGAAAGCCUGAUGCAGCAACGCCGCGUGAAGGAAGAAGGUCUUCGGAUCGUAAACUUCUGUCCUUAGGGAAGAUAAUGACGGUACCUUUGGAGGAAGCCCCGGCUAACUACGUG